RNAcentral lists this ribosomal RNA (492 nucleotides) under uncultured bacterium. RNAcentral describes it as "partial 16S ribosomal RNA". It matches the Rfam family "Bacterial small subunit ribosomal RNA", at positions 29 to 507 of the family's 1533-position model. The record is from RNAcentral.
AGUGAACGCUGGCGGUAGGCCUAACACAUGCAAGUCGAACGGCAGCACAGUAAGAGCUUGCUCUUACGGGUGGCGAGUGGCGGACGGGUGAGGAAUACAUCGGAAUCUACUUUUUCGUGGGGGAUAACGUAGGGAAACUUACGCUAAUACCGCAUACGACCUACGGGUGAAAGCAGGGGAUCUUCGGACCUUGCGCGAUUGAAUGAGCCGAUGUCGGAUUAGCCAGUUGGCGGGGUAACGGCCCACCAAGGCGACGAUCCGUAGCUGGUCUGUGAGGAUGAUCCGCCACACUGGAACUGAGACACAGUCCAGACUCCUACGGUAGGCAGCAGUGGGGAAUAUUGGACAAUGGCCGCAAGCCUGCUCCAGCAAUACCGCGUGAGUGAAGAAGGCCUUCGGGUUGUAAAGCCCUUUUGUUGGGACAGAAAAGCAGCAGGUUAAUACCCCGCUGUUCUGACGGUACCCAAAGAAUAAGCACCGGCUAACUUCGUG